GACGGAGGGGGCUAGCGUUGUUCGGAAUUACUGGGCGUAAAGAGCACGUAGGCGGCGGUGCAAGUUGGGGGUGAAAUCCCGGGGCUCAACCCCGGAACUGCCUUUGAAACUGCAUAGCUAGAAUCUUGGAGAGGCGAGUGGAAUUCCGAGUGUAGAGGUGAAAUUCGUAGAUAUUCGGAAGAACACCAGUGGCGAAGGCGACUCGCUGGACAAGUAUUGACGCUGAGGUGCGAAAGCGUGGGGAGCAAACAGG
Molecule: ribosomal RNA, 253 nt
Filed under: uncultured bacterium
Lineage: Bacteria
Description: partial 16S ribosomal RNA
Rfam family: Bacterial small subunit ribosomal RNA
Source: RNAcentral